UUCUAGGUGAAUUAAUUUGGCGUCAACAAUGUGCGAAAUUUAAUACCAAAUGGACGUAAUACAGUUAUUGUUAUGGAAAAGACCAAACUUGAAUAUAUUAGGCUCAUGUGUCAAAUGAAAAUGACUGGAGCAAUUUGUAAGCAGUCUAUUCUUGGAAGGAUUUUAUGAUAUUAUGCUUAAACGACCAAUUUUCAUAUUUAAUGAACAAGAACUUGAACUAUUGAUCGGUGGCUUGCUUACUGUAAAUAUCUUAAAGGAGGAUCUUAAAGCAAAUAUUGAGUAUCAUAAAUACACUGCUACGUCUUUAUAGGUACAUUUUGAUAUUUUGUAUUAGCUCAAGUUUGAAAGACUUGAAUUAUACCAUCUUUUUUCCACUCACAGAUUCAAUGGUUCUGGUGCAUUGCAAGGUUUUAAUCAAGCGGAUUGUUCGAAGUUCUUACAAUUUAUCACUGGUACAUCUAAAGUGCCGUUACAAAGUUUUGCUGCGUUAGAAGGCAUGAACGGCAUACAAAAGUUCUAAAUUCACAGAGAAGACAAGUUGACAGAUAGGCUUUCAUUUGCACAUAUUUGUUUCAAUCAACUGGAUUACGAGACGUAUGAUAAACUCUAAACAAAUCUACUCAAGGCGACUUACGAAUGCACCAAAGAAUUUGGAUUUGCAUAAGCUUACCAGAAUUUGCUCCAGUACAAUUUCGAUUUCAAUCGAUACAAUUUCGCGUUCAAUCGAUGAUAGUCUAGAGACCAAACUUAUGAUUGGAUCUUUACAGCCAGUGAUAACAUUCCGGACGUGCAAUAGCCUAUUGCUUGCAAAAUUUUUAACGUACUUACAAAAAUUGUUAUACGCAAUGUUAUAUAUAAAACUAUCUUGUGAACGUAGCGAAUCACAGUGCUCUAAUUGCUAUAAUAUGUAUUAUUACACUUAUACGACUUUAUAAAUACGAAAUAUAUAUUUUCAUUUUAUCAUACACAUUAACUCUCAUGUAUCAAGAUUUAUAGAUUAAAUAGAUAUUAAUAAUCUA
Solenopsis invicta (red fire ant) is the source of this 1019-nucleotide RNA transcript. It is a transcript of the gene named E3 ubiquitin-protein ligase HUWE1-like, with no coding region annotated. The record is from RefSeq and is a predicted model, not a curated record. NCBI's taxonomy places the organism in Eukaryota, Metazoa, Arthropoda, Insecta, Hymenoptera, Formicidae. The transcript has 4 exons.